UGGGAUUGAAGCAAACUCAUAGCUGUAAUUAUUGCAUUCCUUAACCCUUCAGAGAUCAAGCGUGUAUCAGCUUACUUCUACUUAUCUCUGUAUUUCUAAACUGUAGAGGCUGUUGGUGAAAUAUUAAAGCUUCUGGCUAUCAAAUUGCAUCUGCGGUCUGCCCAAGUCGGUUAGUGAAGGAUUAAGACAGAGUGAUACCGGAUGGCCCAUGUUUGACUCCUUCAUAUGCAGUUAAGUACCUGAAGUUACACUCAUUGGCAAUUUAAUUCGGAAGUGUUUAGAAGUUUAAGCAAAAGUCUUUGCAGGGAGACUUUUUGGCAAAUCAAAGCAUUGUGCAAACUGCGCUUAAUUUUCCUCCUGGACUCUUUAGUCUUGCAUGAAGUUACCUAUAUUUAGCCUCCAUCUCUUUCUGGGGAGUGACCCUUUUUCUUUCUUCGUUUGUGAUAAAUAGAUUUCCAUGUUAGGGUAUUUUUCUUAAAUCUUUUUUUUGGACAAAGAUGAUACAGUAAUUAAUUCUGCCCUACUUUAGUUUCACUUAUCUUAUUGCUUGACUAAGUUGUCUUCAACGCCUUACAUGUUGUAAUUUUUAUUGGAAUUGUUUUAUUGGUGUGGAUAUAUCCACAGACAGCUGGAGUAGCAAAAGUAUACAUUGCAUCUAAAUUGGUAGCUGGAUACAAUAAUAUGUUGCUCU
Molecule: long non-coding RNA, 691 nt
Filed under: Citrus sinensis (sweet orange)
Lineage: Eukaryota; Viridiplantae; Streptophyta; Magnoliopsida; Sapindales; Rutaceae
Description: long non-coding RNA (CSIN_LNC001954)
Source: RNAcentral